GAUUCUUUGGUAUAGUGGUUAGUACAGCUUUCUUUCGAAAAGCUAGCACCAGUUCAAUUCUGGUAAGAAUCG
Molecule: transfer RNA, 72 nt
Filed under: Marasmius tenuissimus
Lineage: Eukaryota; Fungi; Basidiomycota; Agaricomycetes; Agaricales; Marasmiaceae
Also listed under: 1 other name
Description: tRNA-Glu
Rfam family: tRNA
About the family: Transfer RNA (tRNA) molecules are approximately 80 nucleotides in length. Their secondary structure includes four short double-helical elements and three loops (D, anti-codon, and T loops). Further hydrogen bonds mediate the characteristic L-shaped molecular structure. tRNAs have two regions of fundamental functional importance: the anti-codon, which is responsible for specific mRNA codon recognition, and the 3' end, to which the tRNAs corresponding amino acid is attached (by aminoacyl-tRNA synthetases). tRNAs cope with the degeneracy of the genetic code in two manners: having more than one tRNA (with a specific anti-codon) for a particular amino acid; and 'wobble' base-pairing, i.e. permitting non-standard base-pairing at the 3rd anti-codon position.
Source: RNAcentral